RNAcentral lists this ribosomal RNA (471 nucleotides) under Clostridium sp. enrichment culture clone OTU001. RNAcentral's name for it is "bacterial SSU rRNA". It matches the Rfam family "Bacterial small subunit ribosomal RNA", at positions 19 to 507 of the family's 1533-position model. Lineage: Bacteria; Bacillati; Bacillota; Clostridia; Eubacteriales; Clostridiaceae. The record is from RNAcentral.
CUGGCUCAGGACGAACGCUGGCGGCGUGCUUAACACAUGCAAGUCGAGCGAUGAAGCUCCUUCGGGAGUGGAUUAGCGGCGGACGGGUGAGUAACACGUGGGUAACCUGCCUCAUAGAGGGGAAUAGCCUUUCGAAAGGAAGAUUAAUACCGCAUAAGAUUGUAGUACCGCAUGGUACAGCAAUUAAAGGAGUAAUCCGCUAUGAGAUGGACCCGCGUCGCAUUAGCUAGUUGGUGAGGUAACGGCUCACCAAGGCGACGAUGCGUAGCCGACCUGAGAGGGUGAUCGGCCACAUUGGGACUGAGACACGGCCCAGACUCCUACGGGAGGCAGCAGUGGGGAAUAUUGCACAAUGGGGGAAACCCUGAUGCAGCAACGCCGCGUGAGUGAUGACGGCCUUCGGGUUGUAAAACUCUGUCUUUGGGGACGAUAAUGACGGUACCCAAGGAGGAAGCCACGGCUAACUACGUG